UACGUAGGGUGCAAGCGUUAAUCGGAAUUACUGGGCGUAAAGCGUGCGCAGGCGGUUUUGUAAGUCUGUCGUGAAAGCCCCGGGCUCAACCUGGAAAUUGCGAUGGAGACUGCAAGGCUUGAAUCUGGCAGAGGGGGGUAGAAUUCCACGUGUAGCAGUGAAAUGCGUAGAGAUGUGGAGGAACACCGAUGGCGAAGGCAACCCCCUGGGUCAAGAUUGACGCUCAUGCACGAAAGCGUGGGGAGCAAACAGG
RNAcentral lists this ribosomal RNA (253 nucleotides) under uncultured bacterium. RNAcentral's name for it is "partial 16S ribosomal RNA". It matches the Rfam family "Bacterial small subunit ribosomal RNA", at positions 524 to 776 of the family's 1533-position model. The record is from RNAcentral.